Molecule: ribosomal RNA, 490 nt
Filed under: uncultured Actinomycetales bacterium
Lineage: Bacteria; Bacillati; Actinomycetota; Actinomycetes; Actinomycetales
Description: partial 16S ribosomal RNA
Source: RNAcentral
CACGUAGUUAGCCGGCGCUUCUUCUGCAGGUACCGUCACUUUCGCUUCUUCCCUGCUGAAAGAGGUUUACAACCCGAAGGCCUUCAUCCCUCACGCGGCGUCGCUGCAUCAGGCUUUCGCCCAUUGUGCAAUAUUCCCCACUGCUGCCUCCCGUAGGAGUCUGGGCCGUGUCUCAGUCCCAGUGUGGCCGGUCGCCCUCUCAGGCCGGCUACCCCGUCGUCGCCUUGGUGAGCCGUUACCUCACCAACUAGCUGAUAGGCCGCGAGCCCAUCCCCAGACCCGAUAAAUCUUUCCAGACGCUCCACAUGCGUGGGCGUCUCGUAUCCGGUAUUAGCCACGAUUUCUCAUGGUUAUCCCAGAGUCUGGGGCAGGUUGCUCACGUGUUACUCACCCGUUCGCCACUGAUCCACAGGAGCAAGCUCCUGCUUCACCGUUCGACUUGCAUGUGUUAAGCACGCCGCCAGCGUUCGUCCUGAGCCAGGAUCAAACU